UCCCUGGUGGUCUAGGGGUGAGGACUCAGCACUUCCACCGCUGCAGCCCAGGUUUGAUCCCUGGUAUGAGAA
This 72-nucleotide transfer RNA is filed under the name Sus scrofa (pig). It matches the Rfam family "tRNA". Rfam says of the family: Transfer RNA (tRNA) molecules are approximately 80 nucleotides in length. Their secondary structure includes four short double-helical elements and three loops (D, anti-codon, and T loops). Lineage: Eukaryota; Metazoa; Chordata; Mammalia; Artiodactyla; Suidae. The record is from Rfam by way of RNAcentral.